Molecule: small RNA, 28 nt
Filed under: Bombyx mori (domestic silkworm)
Lineage: Eukaryota; Metazoa; Arthropoda; Insecta; Lepidoptera; Bombycidae
Description: piRNA piR-bmo-1551541
Source: RNAcentral
GCGGACGAAUAGUGAGAACAGCGCGCUG